Molecule: ribosomal RNA, 406 nt
Filed under: uncultured bacterium
Lineage: Bacteria
Description: bacterial LSU rRNA
Rfam family: Bacterial large subunit ribosomal RNA
Source: RNAcentral
CGAUGGCCACACUGUCUCUCCUGAGACUCAGCGAAGUUGAAAUGUUUGUGAAGAUGCAAUCUCCCCGCUGCUAGACGGAAAGACCCCGUGAACCUUUACUGUAGCUUUGCAUUGGACUUUGACAGACUUGUGUAGGAUAGGUGGGAGGCUUUGAAGUGGGAACGGCCAGUUCUCAUGGAGCCGUCCUUGAAAUACCACCCUGGUGUGUUUGAGGUUCUAACCUGGGUCCGUCAUCCGGAUCGGGGACCGUGCAUGGUAGGCAGUUUGACUGGGGCGGUCUCCUCCCAAAGUGUAACGGAGGAGCUCGAAGGUCGCCUAGGUACGGUCGGACAUCGUACUGAUAGUGUAAUGGCAUAAGGCGGCUUAACUGCGAGACCGACAAGUCGAGCAGGUGCGAAAGCAGGAC